This 464-nucleotide ribosomal RNA is filed under the name uncultured bacterium. RNAcentral describes it as "partial 16S ribosomal RNA". It matches the Rfam family "Bacterial small subunit ribosomal RNA", at positions 28 to 507 of the family's 1533-position model. The record is from RNAcentral.
GACGAACGCUGGCGGCGUGCUUAACACAUGCAAGUCGAACGGAAAGGCCUGCUUGCCGGGUCCUCGAGUGGCGAACGGGUGAGUAACACGUUGGUGAUCUGCCCUGCACUUCGGUAUAAGCCUUGGAAACUGGGUCUAAUACCGUAUAGGAGCCAUUUUUAGUGUGUUGGUUGGAAAGUUUUUUCGGUGUGGGGUGAGCUCGCGGCCUAUCAGCUUGUUGGUGGGGUAAUGUCCUACCAAGGCGGCGGCGGGUAGCCGGCCUGAGGUGGUGGACGGCCACAAUGGGAAUGAGAGAAGGCCCAGACGCAGACGGGAGGAAGAAGGGGGGAAUAUUGAAAAAGGGGCGAAAGACUGAUGAAGAGACGCCGCGGGGGGGAGGACGGGCUUAGGGUUGGAAAAGAAAUUCGCUGGGGACGAAGCUUUUUGUGACGGUACCUAGAGAAGAAGCACCGGCUAACUACGUG